RNAcentral lists this ribosomal RNA (403 nucleotides) under uncultured bacterium. RNAcentral's name for it is "bacterial SSU rRNA". It matches the Rfam family "Bacterial small subunit ribosomal RNA", at positions 8 to 414 of the family's 1533-position model. The record is from RNAcentral.
AGAGUUUGAUCCUGGCUCAGGACGAACGCUGGCGGCGUGCUUAACACAUGCAAGUCGAACGGUGAAGUCCCUUCGGGGGCGGAUCAGUGGCGAACGGGUGAGUAACACGUGGGCAAUCUGCCCCUCACUGUGGGAUAACUCCGGGAAACCGGGGCUAAUACCGCAUAUGAAGCCUGGCGGCAUCGCCGGGUUUGGAAAGUUUUUCGGUGAGGGAUGAGCCCGCGGCCUAUCAGCUUGUUGGUGAGGUAAUGGCUCACCAAGGCGACGACGGGUAGCCGGCCUGAGAGGGCGACCGGCCACACUGGGACUGAGACACGGCCCAGACUCCUACGGGAGGCAGCAGUGGGGAAUAUUGGGCAAUGGGCGAAAGCCUGACCCAGCGACGCCGCGUGCGGGAUGAAGG